AUUGAACGCUGGCGGCAGGCCUAACACAUGCAAGUCGAGCGGUAGAGAGGUGCUUGCAUCUCUUGAGAGCGGCGGACGGGUGAGUAAUGCCUAGGAAUCUGCCUGGUGUGGGGGAUAACGUUCGGAAACGGACGCUAAUACCGCAUACGUCCUACGGGAGAAAGCGGGGGAUCUUCGGACCUCGCGCCAUUAGAUGAGCCUAGGUCGGAUUAGCUAGUUGGUGAGGUAAUGGCUCACCAAGGCGACGAUCCGUAACUGGUCUGAGAGGAUGAUCAGUCACACUGGAACUGAGACACGGUCCAGACUCCUACGGGAGGCAGCAGUGGGGAAUAUUGGACAAUGGGCGAAAGACCUGAUCCAGCCAUGCCGCGUGUGUGAAGAAGGUCUUCGGAUUGUAAGACACUUUAAGUUGGGUAGGAAGGGUAGUAACCUAAUACGUUGCUACUUUG
RNAcentral lists this ribosomal RNA (449 nucleotides) under uncultured bacterium. RNAcentral's name for it is "bacterial SSU rRNA". It matches the Rfam family "Bacterial small subunit ribosomal RNA", at positions 30 to 477 of the family's 1533-position model. The record is from RNAcentral.